AACGAACGUUAGCGGCGCGCUUAACACAUGCAAGUCGAACGAGAAAGCACCUUCGGGUGUGAGUAAAGUGGCGAACGGGUGAGUAUCACGUGGGUUAUCUGCCCUUUGGUGAGGGACAACACUUCGAAAGGAGUGCUAAUACCGCAUAAGUCGGCUUCGGCCGGGAAAGACGGCUUCGGCUGUCGCCAGAGGAUGAGCCCGCGGCCCAUCAGCUUGUUGGUAGGGUAAUGGCCUACCAAGGCUACGACGGGUAGCUGGUCUUAGAGGACGAUCAGCCACACUGGAACUGAGACACGGUCCAGACUCCUACGGGAGGCAGCAGUGGGGAAUAUUGCGCAAUGGGCGAAAGCCUGACGCAGCGACGCCGCGUGGGUGAUGAAGGCCUUCGGGUCGUAAAGCCUUGUGGGAGAGGGACGAACAACCCAGGAGAAUAAUACCUCCUGGGUCUGACGGUACCUCUCAGAA
RNAcentral lists this ribosomal RNA (465 nucleotides) under uncultured delta proteobacterium. RNAcentral's name for it is "bacterial SSU rRNA". It matches the Rfam family "Bacterial small subunit ribosomal RNA", at positions 29 to 488 of the family's 1533-position model. Lineage: Bacteria; Deltaproteobacteria. The record is from RNAcentral.